RNAcentral lists this ribosomal RNA (468 nucleotides) under uncultured bacterium. RNAcentral's name for it is "partial 16S ribosomal RNA". It matches the Rfam family "Bacterial small subunit ribosomal RNA", at positions 28 to 507 of the family's 1533-position model. The record is from RNAcentral.
GACGAACGCUGGCGGCGUGCUUAACACAUGCAAGUCGAACGGAAAGGCCCUGCUUUUGUUGGGUGCUCGUGUGGCGAAAAGGUGAGUAUCACGUGUGUAACCUGCCCUUUACUUUGGGAUAACUUCAGGAAACUGGGGCUAAUACCCGGUAUAAGCUCCUGCUGCCUGUUUGGGUUUGUAAAAUUUCGGCGGUUGGGGAUUGAAUCGCGGCUUAUCAGCUUAUUGGUGGGUUAGUGGCUUACCAAGUCUUCGACGGGUAGCCGGCCUGAGGGGGUGACCGGCCACAUUGGGACUGAGAGACGGCCCAGACUCCUACGGGAGGCAGCAGUGGGGAAUAUUGCACAAUGGGCGGAAGCCUGAGGCAGCAACGCCGCGUGCGGGAUGACGGCCUUCGGGUUGUAAACCGCUUUCGCCGGUGACGAAGCGUGAGUGAAGGUAAUGGGUAAAGAAGCACAGGCUAACUACGUG